Molecule: ribosomal RNA, 361 nt
Filed under: uncultured bacterium
Lineage: Bacteria
Description: partial 16S ribosomal RNA
Rfam family: Bacterial small subunit ribosomal RNA
Source: RNAcentral
CCUACGGGAGGCUGCAGUGAGGAAUAUUGGUCAAUGGCCGGAAGGCUGAACCAGCCAAGCCGCGUGAAGGACGAAGGUGCCAAGCAUUGUAAACUUCUUUUGUCAAGGGACAAAAUCAGGCUCGAGAGCCUGACCGAAGGUACUUGAAGAAAAAGCAUCGGCUAACUCCGUGCCAGCAGCCGCGGUAAUACGGAGGAUGCGAGCGUUAUCCGGAUUUAUUGGGUUUAAAGGGGGCGUAGGCGGACUGUUAGGUCAGCGGUAAAAGCCCGGGGCUCAACCCCGGCGCGCCGGGGAAACUGGGUGGCUUGAGAUGGCGAGAGGUAUGCGGAAUGCGCGGUGUAGCGGUGAAAUGCUUAGAUAU